UCUAAUGUCAUAGUGCACUCUCCAAAAGGGAAAUAGAAUGUGUGACACUCGGGUCUCUAUCUCUCGACCAGUGAAACAAUAAGAGCGUAAUCUAUGUUAUAAUUUGGAAUGUUGGUAGCGUACAACAUUCUUUCUCUAAUCAAUUCACUACAGGAGAGGCGGAGCCUAGCGGCGGCUAAAUAGCGGCCCUGACCAAAAUCGCCGCGAAUUAGAAAGAUCCUGGCAGAAGUAAGCGGCGGUCUGGCAGAAGCUGUAAAACGCCCCCUGGAUAGCGGCUGUGCAAUCAGAACCACUGCAAAAUUGGGGGUAUAUAUCUUCAAGCUUCCUUAUUUUACCCUAUCCUCUUGGCGCGAAUAAUAGCGGGAGCAGAGGCGCGAAAUUUCCCCCACACUCCCUGUGCCGCAACAUCCCUGGCGACUACCCCCAGAAACGCCACUAGUUCUCGCAAGUUGAGCCUGAUAGUACACCAAUCAAGAGCGGGAGCAGAGGCGUGAAACCUUGAACUCACCCAGAAACCCCAAUUUUUCAAGCCUUUGCGUCUCAACCACAAUCCCCAAAACCCAGACCUCCCUCAUUCAUGGUGUGCAAAAUCCCUGACCUCUGCUCCACUCUGGGCCUCUGUGUGGGUGGUCGAGUCGUGCAGCUGCCAUCUGUGCUUCUCUCACUGGUCUUGAAGUUGAGCAUCUCCUCGAUCGUGCGUGAAACCGGUUUUGUUCCUUCUUUGUCUUUUCAUUUUUUGGACUUGGGAUCAGCAAUUCUUUCUACCAAUAAUUUUUUAGAAAGCACAGAAUUUUGACAAUGAAGAAAUUGGAGAGCAGAGACUUCUUUCCCAUUACUAGAAGCCGUUAGUUCGCAGAGAAGAUGAUAGCUGAGUCUCCAUUCUCUUUCUUGGACCACGUAACGUCCUUUGCAAGACAGUUGUGGUUUAAAGAGUCUCGCAUACAAUCAUGAUUGGAUGCCUUCUUUGGACAAAGUCACCUCUAUCGAGCCAUAGCUCAUGCGCCGGGAUCAAUGAUGAGAGUUUGUUUGCUGCUGGGAUCAAUUUAUUUUUGUACUCCAUUUUCUUAUUCGUGGAAAGCAACCAUAUUCAUGUGAUAAUUCUAAAACUUUAGAAAAUGCUUCAUUGGGACCGAAAGUACCGGGCUAAAUUUGGGUUUGAGUUUGUAACAAGUACGGAGACGUGGUUCUCACAGAAGAUACUUGACGAGGUGAAGGCACGAUAUGAAAAUACUCUUGUUGUUAAACUGGAUAUUGCAGCACAAGAGGAAUUUAAACUCAUAGAACACGGACUUGAACAUAUAUGGGAACGUAAGAAAGACAACUUUACUUGUUGUUGAUGUAAUAUGAUUAUGUUCAUACACUAAUUCUUGAAAUUCUACGCCUAUUUUGUGCUAUGAUGUACCUCUCAAGGUUAUCUCGAUCCCAGAUUCAGGAGGCAUCCCAAGCUAUUGGAGAGGUGGUUCCGGAUUCAUUGGAAAAAGAGGACGACGUCCCCUCCGGUGGCUCUGAAGAAGCUGAUUCUGCUGGACAAAAUGCCUCGAUGCUGUCGUAUGACCUCAAUAAAACGCCGAAAGAGAAUGAUUAUCCUUAUAGUGGAAUGUCUCCUGAUAAGAAAAAUACCUGGCACAUAGCUAUGUGGGAGACUAGAUACUUGAAUCCUUGAGGAUAUUGCAAUAGUUUAAUUGAAGAAUUAGGAUUUAGAUUUAUAGGAUGCCCAAGACUUGUUUUUUGAAGUUGUCGUGACUUUAUAAUUCUUCAGAUUGUUAUUAGGGAUCGUUAGUAUGCUGCAUUGAAAGUCCUUGGUCUACUGCUUUACAUAUUUCUGCACUUUAUUGAAAGACUAUCGCAAGAUUCUGAUCAUUAAGCAAUUUUUGGCA
Molecule: non-coding RNA, 1877 nt
Organism: Arachis ipaensis
Lineage: Eukaryota; Viridiplantae; Streptophyta; Magnoliopsida; Fabales; Fabaceae
Source: RefSeq, a predicted model, not a curated record